GCCGGCGUGGCGAAACAGGUAGACGCACUGGACUCAAAAUCCAGCGGAUGUUAAAUCCGUGUCGGUUCGACUCCGACCGCCGGCA
Molecule: transfer RNA, 85 nt
Filed under: candidate division Zixibacteria bacterium 4484_93
Lineage: Bacteria; Pseudomonadati; Candidatus Zixiibacteriota
Also listed under: 1 other name
Description: tRNA-Leu
Rfam family: tRNA
About the family: Transfer RNA (tRNA) molecules are approximately 80 nucleotides in length. Their secondary structure includes four short double-helical elements and three loops (D, anti-codon, and T loops).
Source: RNAcentral